Molecule: transfer RNA, 72 nt
Filed under: Vespa affinis (lesser banded hornet)
Lineage: Eukaryota; Metazoa; Arthropoda; Insecta; Hymenoptera; Vespidae
Description: tRNA-Ser
Source: RNAcentral
AGUUAAUAAGCAAUAAAUUUUUGCAUAUAUUUUGAAAAUAUAAGUUUAGAAAUUAACUCUUUCUAUUAACUU